This is a long non-coding RNA of Acinonyx jubatus (cheetah), 1667 nucleotides long. RefSeq lists it as uncharacterized. The record is from RefSeq and is a predicted model, not a curated record. The transcript has 3 exons. Lineage: Eukaryota; Metazoa; Chordata; Mammalia; Carnivora; Felidae.
UCAAGGUUCACUCCUGUUAUAGCAUGAGUCAGUUCUUUAUUCAUUUUUAUGGCUACAUAAUUCUCCAUUUUGUUCAUCCAUUCCUCGGUUGGUAGACAUUUUGGUUAUUUCCAGUUAUGCUCUUCCUGACCAAUGUGUGAACUCAGCUAACAUGAAGCUCCAGAACCAGUGGUAAUAUCACACUAUGAAGAUACCCCAGGGUGUCCAGUGCUGGAAGUGUGACUUGUGGAGGAGAAACACUUUGAAUUAUAGAGUCAGAAGCUAUCAUGUCAGAGGAAUGACUACCUUUAUCAAUUCUCCAUGUAGAAGUGAUGUAACAAAACUGUUGUCAAAUGAAGGUAUUAUAUUUGGUAUUUGCAUCCCAAAUAUGUAGAAAGACAUAUAGAGGUGUAUCAGUAGCUAGUUAAUUAAAAUAUCUUUUUUGGGGGGGAUAUUUUUUGUUAAUUAUCAAUUUUUUCAAAACAUAUGCUUUGUGGUUUAUUUUCUCAUUUUAAAUAAACACUUUUAAAUUUGAGUUUAUAUUUGUAAUUUGGCAUUUCUUUUCUUAAAGGCCCUAAAUCAUAUAUACAAGCCCCUCAAAAUAAGGAUCCACCCUGCUCUGAAGUGAUACUUUUAACUCCCCUGCUUUUUUUUUUUUUUUUAAGUUUAUUUAUUUGGGGUGGGAGGGGCAGAGAGAGAAGGAGAAAGAGAAUUCCAAGCAGGCUCUGCACCGACAGCUCAUAGCCUGUCACGGGGCUCGAACUCACAAACUGCGAGAUCAUGACCUAAACCACAGCCAAGAGUCUGAAGGUUAAGGACUGAGCCACCUAGCCCCACCCCCACCCCCCUUUUUUUUUUUUGGUAGUACUACUUAGCGGUGGCCAGGUGCUUGUGUGAGAUUUCCUCCCAGGGAAUUAUACAGCAAGUUGCUCAUUUUGUUGCUUUCCACCUUCUCAUUGUCCAUUCUUUCCUUUUUCAGCUCGGGAACACUUUCAAGAAAAACUAGCUCAAGCAAUACCUUAUUACCUCAUUAAAUAUGCGAUACCUUGAAGAGCUGCUGUGAUUGAUUAAAUACCGUUCAGCAAAUAUUUCCCUCUAGGCUCCCCUUCCCUGUGGGACAGAGUCUACUUCCCCUCCAUUCCCGGGUUCCCACCGUGGGCUUGGCCAUGUGACUUGCUUUGGCCAAUGGGAUGUGGACAGAAGUCCACGUGACACUUCUGAGCCCCAGAAGCCGCUUUAGAUCAUGUUCUGGGAGCCAGAGGUCCUUCAGCGUGGGUCCCGCAAAAAGUCACUGGUAGCAACCUAAAUCCUGAACCCGAAGCUCAGCCCAAGGAGGAGCUGCUGCCGCUGACCUGCAGACCUUUAUCCUGCCGGCUUGAAAUUCCUCUUGAGACAGGAUUUGUCUAGAACCUACUGUCCUGAAUCCAAAUCAUUUGUUUAACUUACAGAAGCAUGUAACCAAAAUGGAAAUCAAGUACCGUGGACCUGGACGGUGGGGGCCUGAAUUAAAAUCACUCAAGACAGGAAGAAUUUGACAUGGUCAAUCAGACUUCAGAGCCAAGGCAGGAGGAGAAGACGAAUUUCUCCAUGUCCAGCAACAUUCCAGCCAGUGAGAAACUGCUUCACUCAGCUAGAGUAAAGCCGUGACCUGAACUCUUGGAAGCAGUCACUCCUGACUUCCUUCUUUC